Molecule: ribosomal RNA, 230 nt
Filed under: uncultured bacterium
Lineage: Bacteria
Description: partial 16S ribosomal RNA
Rfam family: Bacterial small subunit ribosomal RNA
Source: RNAcentral
ACGGUGAGUAACGCGUAUCCAACCUGCCGUCUACUCUUGGACAGCCUUCUGAAGGAAGAUUAAUACAAGAUGGCAUCAUGAGUCCGCAUGUUCACAUGAUUAAAGGUAUUCCGGUAGACGAUGGGGAUGCGUUCCAUUAGAUAGUAGGCGGGGUAACGGCCCACCUAGUCUUCGAUGGAUAGGGGUUCUGAGAGGAAGGUCCCCCACAUUGGAACUGAGACACGGUCCAA